UACGUAGGUGGCAAGCGUUGUCCGGAAUUAUUGGGCGUAAAGCGCGCGCAGGCGGUCCUUUAAGUCUGAUGUGAAAGCCCACGGCUCAACCGUGGAGGGUCAUUGGAAACUGGGGGACUUGAGUACAGAAGAGGAAAGCGGAAUUCCACGUGUAGCGGUGAAAUGCGUAGAUAUCGGGAAGAACAUCGGUGGCGAAGGCGGCUCGCUGGGCCGUUGCUGACGCUGAGGCGCGAAAGCGUGGGGAGCAAACAGG
RNAcentral lists this ribosomal RNA (253 nucleotides) under uncultured bacterium. RNAcentral describes it as "partial 16S ribosomal RNA". It matches the Rfam family "Bacterial small subunit ribosomal RNA", at positions 524 to 776 of the family's 1533-position model. The record is from RNAcentral.